GACGAACGCUGGCGGCGUGCCUAAUACAUGCAAGUAGAACGCUGAAGGAGGAGCUUGCUCUUCUGGAUGAGUUGCGAACGGGUGAGUAACGCGUAGGUAACCUGCCUGGUAGCGGGGGAUAACUAUUGGAAACGAUAGCUAAUACCGCAUAACAGUAGAUGUUGCAUGACAUUUACUUAAAAGGUGCAAUUGCAUCACUACCAGAUGGACCUGCGUUGUAUUAGCUAGUUGGUGGGGUAACGGCUCACCAAGGCGACGAUACAUAGCCGACCUGAGAGGGGGAUCGGCCACACUGGGACUGAGACACGGCCCAGGCUCCUACGGGAGGCAGCAGUAGGGAAUCUUCGGCAAUAGACGGAAGUCUGACCGAGCAACGCCGCGUGAGUGAAGAAGGUUUUCGGAUCGUAAAGCUCGGUUGUAAGAGAAGAACGAGUGUGAGAGUGGAAAGUUCACACUGUGACGGUAUCUAACCAGAAAGGGACGGCUAACUACGUG
This 495-nucleotide ribosomal RNA is filed under the name uncultured bacterium. Its description in RNAcentral is "partial 16S ribosomal RNA". It matches the Rfam family "Bacterial small subunit ribosomal RNA", at positions 28 to 507 of the family's 1533-position model. The record is from RNAcentral.